AAAAGGGAUAUGCCAUUUCUGAGACACAAU
This 30-nucleotide non-coding RNA is filed under the name Cricetulus griseus (Chinese hamster). The record is from RNAcentral. Lineage: Eukaryota; Metazoa; Chordata; Mammalia; Rodentia; Cricetidae.